GCAAACUUGGUCAUUUAGAGGAAGUAAAAGUCGUAACAAGGUUUCCGUAGGUGAACCUGCGGAAGGAUCAUUACAAAUCCACACCGACACCUGUGUUGUUGUGUCUGUCCCCUCACGAAUGGGCCUUUCCUCUCUCUCCUCUGUGAGAGGAAAGACACCCCGAUUCGUGAGGCCAGACAGACACACACACACGUUACCACGUUGAAUUGUGUCAUUGCUGUGCAUGCAUGCUCUACUGCAUGUAUGCGCACGCAUUUGUCUCUCUCACUUGUUGUUGUUCAGUUGCUCAAUUGUAUUACACACACGCACUGUUUAAUGCAGACACAACUUAUAACAAUGGAUCUCUAGGCUCUUGCAUCGAUGAAGAACGCAGC
RNAcentral lists this unclassified non-coding RNA (374 nucleotides) under uncultured fungus. RNAcentral describes it as "partial contains small subunit ribosomal RNA, internal transcribed spacer 1, and 5.8S ribosomal RNA". The stretch from base 1 to 73 matches the Rfam family "Eukaryotic small subunit ribosomal RNA", at positions 1759 to 1831 of the family's 1831-position model. Lineage: Eukaryota; Fungi. The record is from RNAcentral.